Long non-coding RNA from Dromaius novaehollandiae (emu), 662 nucleotides. RefSeq lists it as uncharacterized. The record is from RefSeq and is a predicted model, not a curated record. The transcript has 4 exons. Lineage: Eukaryota; Metazoa; Chordata; Aves; Casuariiformes; Dromaiidae.
AGAGAAGUUUACUCUGGAAAUCAGACGCUUUUACAGAGAGCCAUUACAGAAAGGUAACAUCCAAGAAAUGAAUGAAAUACAGAUGACAUCCACUCCUGCUUGUUGCCAAGUUAUACUCUCUUUGCAGUGGAAAAACACAAGAAUUACCAGUGGAACUGCUUAAGACUGCGCUUACGUCUCUCCGUGCAAAGCUUCCCUGUCACAUCCCUGAAGGAAUAAAAUAUUUCUAUACAAGUGCAAGACAAGAAAAAUCCCUCCUUAGGACUGCAUUCCUGAAAUUCAAGAAAGAAAUUCUCACAGGCUAUAUUUGUAUUCCUAUCAAAGAAGGGCCAGGGACCAGCUGCUGGUCCCCAGGUCAUGUGGCACAGAUUGGAUCAUGUCCAGCUUGCUAAGGCCUAUGUUCCUUUGUGACAGAUUUGUCUCCGAAACAGCUAGUCAAGAGCAGUCCAAAGCAGAGCCAGAAAUUAAGCUGGUAAAUAAACAGUGUGAAUGAUCAAGUUUCAGUGUACACUCGCUGCCUUUUUUAUUUAGCAGCACGGGUGCAACACCAGAAAGCUCCAGAGUAUGGAAGCUGCUUCUGCUGUUACCUUUGACCAAUUAAGAGUUAACUUUUGGAUCAAUUUUGAAGCCCCUUUUUGGAACAUUAAAGCUGAUUAAAUUAA